AUGUUAACCAGAUUUGAUUAUCUCAUUAAUUCUUAUAACGAUGAACUUUCAUGCCAUAUCAAAACCAGAAGUCCAACAUGCAUACCUACAAUAGGUCAAAGCCUCAAAUUCCACUCGAAAAGUAAAAAAGAACAGAAUAUCUCGAAUUGUUGUCAUGCUUCAUUUAGCUUUGUUGCUUUCCUGUUAUAUGUUAUAUGUACGUAUGUUUUUCACGAAUUUGUACAACAAAGGUUGCUCAAACCCCAAAGGACUUUGGGAAUGAAUGCAAGCAGUUUCUUCUGUUUUUCUUGCUGGGAAUAG
RNAcentral lists this ribosomal RNA (300 nucleotides) under Triticum aestivum (bread wheat). RNAcentral describes it as "partial small subunit ribosomal RNA". Lineage: Eukaryota; Viridiplantae; Streptophyta; Magnoliopsida; Poales; Poaceae. The record is from RNAcentral.